GAAAAGUAUAAGUUGGGAAACCCAAAAUCAUUUCACUAUCUUAACCAGUCAAAUUGCUAUGAACUGGUUGGUGUAAGCGAUGCCCAUGACUAUCUUGCCACAAGACGAGCUAUGGAUAUAGUUGGAAUAAGUGCUAAGGAACAGGAAGCAAUUUUCAGAGUUGUUGCUGCAAUCCUUCAUCUUGGCAAUAUUGUCUUUACUAAGGGAAAGGAAGUUGAUUCGUCAGUUCCAAAAGAUGACCAAGCUAAAUUUCAUCUUAAAAUGACAGCAGAGCUACUCAUGUGCGAUCCUGUAGGCUUGGAAGAUGCAUUAUGUAAGCGUGUCAUGAUCACCCCUGAGGAGGUUAUCAAACGAAGUCUGGAUCCUCAAAGUGCAGCAGUUAGCAGGGAUGGUUUAGCUAAGACAAUUUAUUCACGCCUAUUUGACUGGCUGGUGGAUAAAAUUAAUAAUUCCAUUGGACAAGAUGCUAAUUCAAAAUGUCUGAUUGGAGUCCUUGACAUCUAUGGCUUUGAAAGCUUUAAGACUAACAGGUAAUAACUAAUCAAACUACGUAUACAAUUAUAACUGAGUAAAUUGCAUGUGGUAUUGCAGGAAAUUGCUAAUGGAGUUCUCAUAACAAUUCACAAUUCCUACUGUGCAGUUUUGAGCAGUUCUGUAUCAAUUUCACAAAUGAAAAGUUGCAGCAGCAUUUCAACCAGCAUGUCUUCAAAAUGGAACAAGAAGAAUACACUAAAGAACAGAUUGAUUGGAGCUACAUUGAGUUUGUUGAUAAUCAAGAUGUCUUGGAUCUUAUUGAAAAGAAACCUGGGGGAAUAAUUGCUCUCCUUGAUGAAGCUUGCAUGUUUCCAAAGUCAACGCAUGAAACAUUUGCAAAUAAGCUUUAUCAGACGUUUAAAGUUCACAAACGCUUUAUCAAGCCAAAAUUGUCUCGAACAGAUUUCACCAUUGCUCAUUAUGCUGGAGAGGUCCUGUAUCAGUCUGACCAAUUUUUGGACAAGAACAAAGAUUAUGUGGUUCCUGAACAUCAGGAUUUGUUAGGUGCUUCCAAAUGUUCAUUUGUAGCAGGCCUUUUCCCUCCACUUCCAGAAGAAACAAGUAAAUCUUCAAAGUUCUCCUCAAUUGGUUCUCGUUUUAAGCUACAACUACAACAAUUAAUGGAAACGUUAAAUUCUACUGAACCUCACUAUAUCAGAUGUGUAAAGCCAAAU
Molecule: unclassified non-coding RNA, 1208 nt
Filed under: Hevea brasiliensis (rubber tree)
Lineage: Eukaryota; Viridiplantae; Streptophyta; Magnoliopsida; Malpighiales; Euphorbiaceae
Source: RNAcentral